GGCGAGAUGGCCGAGCGGUCUAAGGCGCUAGAAUCAGGAUCUAGUCCUCCGGGGCGUGGGUUCGAAUCCCACUCUCGUCA
RNAcentral lists this transfer RNA (80 nucleotides) under Schizophyllum commune H4-8. RNAcentral describes it as "tRNA-Leu (CAG) (tRNA-Leu-CAG-1-1)". It matches the Rfam family "tRNA". From Rfam's summary of the family: Transfer RNA (tRNA) molecules are approximately 80 nucleotides in length. The record is from RNAcentral. Lineage: Eukaryota; Fungi; Basidiomycota; Agaricomycetes; Agaricales; Schizophyllaceae.